This 450-nucleotide ribosomal RNA is filed under the name uncultured prokaryote. Its description in RNAcentral is "bacterial SSU rRNA". It matches the Rfam family "Bacterial small subunit ribosomal RNA", at positions 355 to 796 of the family's 1533-position model. The record is from RNAcentral.
UGGGGGAUAUUGGACAAUGGGGGCAACCCUGAUCCAGCAACGCCGCGUGAGUGAAGAAGGCCUUUGGGUCGUAAAGCUCUGUCAACUGGGAAGAAAUUAUAGUUAUCUAACAGGUGUCUAUAUUGACGGUACCAGUGGAGGAAGCGCCGGCUAACUCCGUGCCAGCAGCCGCGGUAAGACGGGGGGCGCAAGCGUUAUUCGGAAUUAUUGGGCGUAAAGGGCGCGCAGGCGGUCUUGUCGGUCAGGUGUGAAAGCCCGGGGCUCAACCCCGGAUGGUCACUUGAAACAGCAAGACUUGAAUACUGGAGAGGAAAGCGGAAUUCCUGGUGUAGAGGUGAAAUUCGUAGAUAUCAGGAGGAACACCGAUGGCGAAGGCAGCUUUCUGGACAGAUAUUGACGCUGAGGCGCGAAGGCGUGGGUAGCGAACGGGAUUAGAUACCCGGGUAGUCC